UACGUAGGUGGCAAGCGUUAUCCGGAUUUAUUGGGCGUAAAGGGAACGCAGGCGGUCUUUUAAGUCUGAUGUGAAAGCCCACGGCUUAACCGUGGAGGGUCAUUGGAAACUGGUUGACUUGAGUGCAGAAGAGGGAAGUGGAAUUCCAUGUGUAGCGGUGAAAUGCGUAGAGAUAUGGAGGAACACCAGUGGCGAAGGCGGCUUCCUGGUCUGCAACUGACACUGAGGCGCGAAAGCGUGGGGAGCAAACAGG
RNAcentral lists this ribosomal RNA (253 nucleotides) under uncultured Turicibacter sp. RNAcentral describes it as "partial 16S ribosomal RNA". It matches the Rfam family "Bacterial small subunit ribosomal RNA", at positions 524 to 776 of the family's 1533-position model. Lineage: Bacteria; Bacillati; Bacillota; Erysipelotrichia; Erysipelotrichales; Turicibacteraceae. The record is from RNAcentral.